GAUGAAGAACGUAGCGAACUGCGAUAAGUAAUGUGAAUUGCAGAAUUCAGUGAAUCAUCGAGUCUUUGAACGCACAUUGCGCCCCCUGGCAUUCCGGGGGGCAUGCCUGUCCGAGCGUCAUUGCUGCCCUUCAAGCCCGGCUUGUGUGUUGGGUCGUCGUCCCCCCCGGGGGACGGGCCCGAAAGGCAGCGGCGGCACCGCGUCCGAUCCUCGAGCGUAUGGGGCUUUGUCACCCGCUCGAUUAGGGCCGGCCGGGCGCCAGCCGGCGUCUCCAACCUUCUAUUUUACCAGGUUGACCUCGGAUCAGGUAGGGAUACCCGCUGAACUUAAGCAUAUCAAUAAGCGGAGGA
This 350-nucleotide unclassified non-coding RNA is filed under the name soil metagenome. RNAcentral describes it as "partial contains 5.8S ribosomal RNA, internal transcribed spacer 2, and large subunit ribosomal RNA". The stretch from base 1 to 120 matches the Rfam family "5.8S ribosomal RNA", at positions 35 to 154 of the family's 154-position model. The record is from RNAcentral.